GGGCGCGCUCCAGUGAGACCCUCCCUUAAGUGUAAGGACUAAGAUCUAAUCUAGUCCAUUAAAUAAUCCCAUCCAACCGUCCAGAUUAAAUGGAAUUAAUGCGUCCGGCUUUUUUUGUUUUCAUUAUUUUUUAUGCGUUCACACUGGAAGGAGGGCUAUUUAGUAAAUUUAGCCGCAUCAUAAAACACGUCUCCAACAAUCCCCUCAAUUCUCUUUAAUUGUGUCCUCUCCAAAUCCCUCAUUCCUCGGAAUUCAUUAAUUGCUCAUAUUAACUGCAUUGCCUCUAUACACCGGCUCCGAAAAUCGAAUCUUUUUUCUUCUUUUUUGGUUUGUCAAAGCUGAUCUAGGAUUUAGAAGAGAACCUAGAGUUACUGCAAAAUCAUUGAAAACUAGUGAACAAGCAACGAAAGUGUUUCGCAGACGAAGAAACUCGCAGGAUUCUCUAGGUGGAGAUGAGAUUAAACAUGGGGACGAACCCAGUUGUUUUGUUGGGAAUUACUAGGAUCAUGUUCCAGAGGAUGUGGAGGUUACUAAGGACAAAGAUAGUGGAGCUGUGGAGAAGAAAAAAACUUGAACGACAAAUCCGAGGACGAAGAGAGUUUAGAUGAUGAUUUUGUUACCGUGCAUCCAAGAGUUCAAAUUGCGACGGUGCAAGCGAAGAGAGGAGCACCUGCUGCUGUGUGUACCAGUACGGCAAGUUCUGCUUUGGCUUGGGCUGCUGACCCUUGGAGUUCGCCACCUGCUGCGAUGACGAUGAGAGCUGCUGCCCACACGACUACCCCAUCUGCGAUGUUGAUGCACAAACUUGCCUAAUGAGCAAGGACAAUCCGUUGGGGAUACCGGUCUUCAAACGAGGCGCUUCAAAGCCCAACUGGUCGACCUGUAGGUUUGGGAGGAAGAUGAGCAGCAACAGUGCUUGAGAUUGUUGCAAGGGAAGGGAACUGAAGUUAUUGUUUUGAGGAGUGGAGAUGUGAACCAUUUUCGUUUUCAGUAUAUAAUUCUUUCGUUUUUGCUUAUUCCUUAAGCAAUUUGAUGUAUUCAUUAAGCUUCACUUCACUGUUGUUGUGUUGUUCAUUAAUCGCAAUUCAUAACUGUAAUCACAUGCAUAAAUACAUUAAUAUAUAAAUUUAUUUAUAUUCACUAA
This is a long non-coding RNA of Salvia miltiorrhiza (redroot sage), 1144 nucleotides long. RefSeq lists it as uncharacterized. The record is from RefSeq and is a predicted model, not a curated record. Lineage: Eukaryota; Viridiplantae; Streptophyta; Magnoliopsida; Lamiales; Lamiaceae. The transcript is spliced from 5 exons.